RNAcentral lists this ribosomal RNA (293 nucleotides) under Roseibium sp. RKSG952. RNAcentral describes it as "Bacterial small subunit ribosomal RNA". It matches the Rfam family "Bacterial small subunit ribosomal RNA", at positions 387 to 697 of the family's 1533-position model. Lineage: Bacteria; Pseudomonadati; Pseudomonadota; Alphaproteobacteria; Hyphomicrobiales; Stappiaceae. The record is from Rfam by way of RNAcentral.
UCCAGCCAUGCCGCGUGAGUGAUGAAGGCCCUAGGGUUGUAAAGCUCUUUCAGCGAGGAGGAUAAUGACGUUACUCGCAGAAGAAGCCCCGGCUAACUUCGUGCCAGCAGCCGCGGUAAUACGAAGGGGGCUAGCGUUGUUCGGAAUCACUGGGCGUAAAGCGCACGUAGGCGGAUUGAUAAGUUAGGGGUGAAAUCCCAGGGCUCAACCCUGGAACUGCCUUUGAUACUGUCAGUCUUGAGUUCGAGAGAGGUGAGUGGAACUCCGAGUGUAGAGGUGAAAUUCGUAGAUAU